Molecule: ribosomal RNA, 411 nt
Filed under: Dohrniphora nebulisilvensis
Lineage: Eukaryota; Metazoa; Arthropoda; Insecta; Diptera; Phoridae
Description: partial 16S ribosomal RNA
Source: RNAcentral
GUUAUUCCUAACUGUGCAAAGGUAGCAUAAUCAUUAGUCUUUUAAUUGAAGGCUGGAAUGAAUGGUUGAAUGAAAUAUUAACUGUUUCAUUUUAAUUAAUNAUUGAAUUUUAUUUUUUAGUCAAAAAGCUAAAAUAAUUUUAAAAGACGAGAAGACCCUAUAAAUCUUUAUAAUUNNUUAGUAUUNUUNNNUAUUUAGAAAAAUUAAAAUUUUAUGCGAUAAAUUAUUUUAUUGGGGUGAUAUUGAAAUUUAUUAAACUUUUAAUUAAUUAAUAACAUAAAUUAAUGAUUUAUNUGAUCCAUUANNUAAUGAUUAAAAAUUUAAGUUACUUUAGGGAUAACAGCNGUAAUUUUUUUAGAGAGUUCAUAUUGAUAAAAAAGAUUGCGACCUCGAUGUUGGAUUAAGAUAUAA